Molecule: ribosomal RNA, 105 nt
Filed under: Lepisosteus oculatus (spotted gar)
Lineage: Eukaryota; Metazoa; Chordata; Actinopteri; Semionotiformes; Lepisosteidae
Source: RNAcentral
GCCAGCAGCCAUAUCACCCUGCAACUCACUGAAGUUUAGCAGGUGUGAGCCUGGCCAGUACCUGGAUGAGAGACCUCCUGGGAAAAAGUAAGGUUGCUGCUUGGA